UACGUAGGGGGCUAGCGUUGUCCGGAAUCAUUGGGCGUAAAGCGCGUGUAGGCGGUCCGGUAAGUCCGCUGUGAAAGUCGAGGGCUCAACCCUCGAAUGCCGGUGGAUACUGUCGGGCUAGAGUACGGGAGAGGCGAGUGGAAUUCCUGGUGUAGCGGUGAAAUGCGCAGAUAUCAGGAGGAACACCAAUUGCGAAGGCAGCUCGCUGGGACGUUACUGACGCUGAGACGCGAAAGCGUGGGGAGCAAACAGG
Molecule: ribosomal RNA, 253 nt
Filed under: uncultured bacterium
Lineage: Bacteria
Description: partial 16S ribosomal RNA
Rfam family: Bacterial small subunit ribosomal RNA
Source: RNAcentral